Molecule: long non-coding RNA, 713 nt
Filed under: Homo sapiens (human)
Lineage: Eukaryota; Metazoa; Chordata; Mammalia; Primates; Hominidae
Description: HSALNT0056807
Source: RNAcentral
AAAACAGCCCAAUAUGUUGAUCUUUUACUCUAUGAUUAGUGAUUUUUGUGUUCUGUUGAAGACACAAAUUUUUGAAGAGAAUCCCCUUUAUUUUCUUUCUAUUAGCAUUAUUAUUUUAACAUUCACAUUGGUCUGUCAUUAAUCUCAAAGUAUUUAUUUACAUGUGUGGUUUAAUAUGGUGGUCAUGGUUUCUGGGUUUGUUUUUGUUUUUGUUUUGCUUAUAGAUGUCCAAUUGAUACAGCACUAUUUAUUUCAAAAGGCAAUGCUUUUCUGAUGAAUUGCAGAGGUGUCUGUGCCACAAAGUAGGCAAUACCAAUGAGCAGACUUCACUUAUGUUCUGGAUAAAUAAAAGCCUACACAAGGAGCCUUGAACCAUAGGAUACCCACAACCAGUGCAGGGCAGUAACACAGCUUUGGCCAUGCACAUGGGGAAAGCACCCUUAACUGAUACUGUGAAGAAACAACAUAGAAGAAAACCGUGCCUUAUUUGACCUUGUAGAAUAUAAUCUGAUUGCUCAUCUCUAGACUACAAUGUGGGGAUUUGAGGAGAAUCAGAAAGACUAAAAAGUGGCAUAUCCAAGAUUGGACAUCCUGAUUGAGUCAAGAAAUGAUUGGAUUCAGAGUCUUGGAACCAGAUAAGGUAAACGAGAAAAAUAAAAGACAAUGGUUAGAAAGGAUAAUCUGCAACAGUGCAUGCAAAUGUCAAAUGUAAC